GACGAACGCUGGCGGCGUGCUUAAUACAUGCAAGUGGAGCGACGAACCAGGCUUCGGCCUGGGGCAGAGCCGCGAACGGGUGAGUAACACGUGGGUAACCUGCCUCGAUGACCGGGACAACCCGGGGAACCCGGGCUAAUACCGGAUGUGCUGUCCCCACAUCAGUGGAGACAGGAAAGGAAGCUUCGGCCUCCGCAUCGAGAUGGGCCCGCGGCCCAUUAGCUUGUUGGUGUGGUAACGGCUCACCAAGGCUGCGAUGGGUAGCUGGUCUGAGAGGACGAUCAGCCACACUGGGACUGAGACACGGCCCAGACUCCUACGGGAGGCAGCAGUAGGGAAUCUUGCGCAAUGCGCGAAAGCGUGACGCAGCAACGCCGCGUGGGGGAA
Molecule: ribosomal RNA, 387 nt
Filed under: uncultured bacterium
Lineage: Bacteria
Description: bacterial SSU rRNA
Rfam family: Bacterial small subunit ribosomal RNA
Source: RNAcentral